This 1287-nucleotide ribosomal RNA is filed under the name metagenome. RNAcentral's name for it is "bacterial SSU rRNA". It matches the Rfam family "Bacterial small subunit ribosomal RNA", at positions 242 to 1520 of the family's 1533-position model. The record is from RNAcentral.
UAGCUAGUUGGUGAGGUAAAGGCUUACCAAGGCGACGAUCUGUAGCGGGUCUGAGAGGAUGAUCCGCCACACUGGAACUGAGACACGGUCCAGACUCCUACGGGAGGCAGCAGUGGGGAAUUUUGGACAAUGGGGGCAACUCUGAUCCAGCCAUGCCGCGUGAGUGAAGAAGGCCUUCGGGUUGUAAAGCUCUUUCGGCCGGGAAGAAAUCGCAUGGGCCAAUACCCUGUGUGGAUGACGGUACCGGAAUAAGAAGCACCGGCUAACUACGUGCCAGCAGCCGCGGUAAUACGUAGGGUGCGAGCGUUAAUCGGAAUUACUGGGCGUAAAGCGUGCGCAGGCGGUUUUGUAAGACAGGCGUGAAAUCCCCGGGCUUAACCUGGGAACUGCGUUUGUGACUGCAAGGCUAGAGUACGGCAGAGGGGGGUGGAAUUCCACGUGUAGCAGUGAAAUGCGUAGAGAUGUGGAGGAACACCAAUGGCGAAGGCAGCCCCCUGGGUCGAUACUGACGCUCAUGCACGAAAGCGUGGGUAGCAAACAGGAUUAGAUACCCUGGUAGUCCACGCCCUAAACUAUGUCAACUAGGUGUUGGGUGGGUAAAACCAUUCAGUACCGUAGCUAACGCGUGAAGUUGACCGCCUGGGGAGUACGGCCGCAAGGUUAAAACUCAAAGGAAUUGACGGGGACCCGCACAAGCGGUGGAUGAUGUGGAUUAAUUCGAUGCAACGCGAAAAACCUUACCUACCCUUGACAUGCCAGGAACUUGCCAGAGAUGGCUUGGUGCCCGAAAGGGAGCCUGGACACAGGUGCUGCAUGGCUGUCGUCAGCUCGUGUCGUGAGAUGUUGGGUUAAGUCCCGCAACGAGCGCAACCCUUGUCGUUAAUUGCCAUCUUUUAGUUGGGCACUUUAACGAGACUGCCGGUGACAAACCGGAGGAAGGUGGGGAUGACGUCAAGUCCUCAUGGCCCUUAUGGGUAGGGCUUCACACGUCUUACAAUGGUCGGUACAAAGGGUUGCCAAGCCGCGAGGCGGAGCCAAUCCCAGAAAGCCGAUCGUAGUCCGGAUUGCAGGCUGCAACUCGCCUGCAUGAAGUCGGAAUCGCUAGUAAUCGUGGAUCAGCAUGUCACGGUGAAUACGUUCCCGGGUCUUGUACACACCGCCCGUCACACCAUGGGAGCGGGUUCCGCCAGAAGUAGGUAGCCUAACCGCAAGGGGGGCGCUUACCACGGCGGGGUUCGUGACUGGGGUGAAGUCGUAACAAGGUAGCCGUAGGGGAACCUGCGGCUG